This 279-nucleotide ribosomal RNA is filed under the name uncultured bacterium. RNAcentral's name for it is "partial 16S ribosomal RNA". It matches the Rfam family "Bacterial small subunit ribosomal RNA", at positions 506 to 784 of the family's 1533-position model. The record is from RNAcentral.
UGCCAGCCGCCGCGGUAAUACGAAGGGUGCAAGCGUUAAUCGGAAUUACUGGGCGUAAAGCGCGCGUAGGCGGUUUGGUAAGUGUGAUGUGAAAGCCCAGGGCUCAACCUUGGAACUGCAUCACAUACUGUCAGACUAGAGUACGGGAGAGGGGGGUAGAAUUCCACGUGUAGCGGUGAAAUGCGUAGAGAUGUGGAGGAAUACCGGUGGCGAAGGCGGCCCCCUGGAUCGAUACUGACGCUGAGGUGCGAAAGCGUGGGGAGCAAACAGGAUUAGAUA